RNAcentral lists this ribosomal RNA (433 nucleotides) under uncultured bacterium. Its description in RNAcentral is "partial 16S ribosomal RNA". It matches the Rfam family "Bacterial small subunit ribosomal RNA", at positions 29 to 507 of the family's 1533-position model. The record is from RNAcentral.
AACGAACACUGGCGGCAUGCCUAACACAUGCCAGUCGAACGAGACCUUCGGGUCUAGUGGCGCACGGGUGCGUAACGCGUGGGAACCUGCCUUUAGGUUCGGAAUAACUCAGAGAAAUUUGAGCUAAUACCGGAUGAUGUCUUCGGACCAAAGAUUUAUCGCCUUUAGAUGGGCCCGCGUUGGAUUAGCUAGUUGGUGGGGUAAAGGCCUACCAAGGCGACGAUCCAUAGCUGGUCUGAGAGGAUGAUCAGCCACACUGGGACUGAGACACGGCCCAGACUCCUACGGGAGGCAGCAGUGGGGAAUAUUGGACAAUGGGCGAAAGCCUGAUCCAGCAAUGCCGCGUGAGUGAUGAAGGCCUUAGGGUUGUAAAGCUCUUUUACCCGAGAUGAUAAUGACAGUAUCGGGAGAAUAAGCUCCGGCUAACUCCGUG